AGACUUUGUUUUACUUUGUUUUAAAAUUAAUCUUAUUGAUCAAGAAACAUAAUGGUGAAGCUAAUUUUUAAUUUCAAUUUUUUUAAAUACAAGGACAUAAAAUUUAGAUAGAGCCCUAUGUUCUUGUGAGCACUAGAGCUGAGUAAUGACCAAGGACUGCAUAUAAUGCAGCACAUUAUACAGUCCUUACACUGUCUCAACACAACUACUCCAACCAAAGUGGGAUGGACCCUGUGGGACCCUGCAGGGUGCAGUAAAUUCUGAUGUUAAAGAUAGGGUGACUUGGAAAUUCUUCCACUAAGUUUAUAAAGGAAUUUCCAAGAUACAUUAAAAUUUCACCUUCACAGAAUUCAGUAGCCAUUAUAAUACUUAAAUAAUACUGAUAAUAAUACUUGAAAUUAUACUGAAAACAAUACUUUAAUUUUUAAUGAGGAUUUUUGAUUGGUUUGAGGUGGUUAUUUCAGAGUUGUUUGGUUGGUUAGUUGGAGGUGUUUGUUAGUUUGUUUGGGGGGUUUGGGGGGGAGGGUUGCUUAGUCAUUUCAUGAAAACUAGUGUAACACAUGACUUAGUGGGACUAUCAAUUUAUUAUGAUUCUUUAAGAAGUAAUUCACAUUCUGAAUCAUAAUUGCAUGACAAAAAUUGGAUCCUAUUACUAUUUAGUUAUAGCCUAAUAAAUACUGUAUUCCUCUCUUUUCUCAAAACAAUAUGAAUUUCUAGUUUAAUCACUAGUAUUCUGAUAAACAUCACGCUGCCCAAACAGCUCGAUAGAUGUAUUUUAUACCUGUAUUUGUGUAGCUCAUAUAAAAACUCAGUGUGGACUGUCCUAUGUCUGCUUCAUUCAAGAGCUGCCCUGUGAUCUUCUCAUCUCACUAUGCCAACACCUUCUGUCACAGUGUCAUGUACAUAGGCCAAGGUACAAAAAUGACUGUAAACUGCUUAUUCAACAUCUAGUCCAAAAAGGUCUGAGGCAGUGCAAUAACACUGUUAGUUAAAACAUCUCACCAUUUGAAUCAUUUUAAUCUGUGCAUUCUUGACCAUGAAUAUUGAAAUAGUAUUUUUGGACUGUUUUCUCAAGCUUAUAGUGAAAAAUCUGUGUCAUAUCUAUAUAAUCAAUAUGUCAAGUAAUUCAGUUAUUCAGUAUUGCCAAUAACAAACUAAAAAAAAAUCCCAUAUAAUUGCUUAAAUUAUUUUCUGUUGGCAACAUAGGCCUGCCUCAAAUGGUUUCUUUCAGCACUAUUAUAUGUAAAAUAAAGGGAGGAGGGUUAUGGUGAAUUUUUCCUUGCCUGACAUUAGAUCUUUUCACUAAUCAAAGGAUGCACAUUCCUCAGAAUUGACCCAGCUGUUGAAGUCUGGUGUUCCAAGGAAUAUAAUAUUUCUUUUUGGUGUCCAAAAGCUAAAGGUUGGGGGUUAGGGUGUAUGCACAAAGCCCUGGGUUCAAUCCCCAAGCGCGAGCGCACAAACACACACACACACACACACACACACACAAAGAUUUAAGGUAGAUAUUCACAAAAUUAACUUACAUGGACUUUCAAAGGCAG
RNAcentral lists this long non-coding RNA (1541 nucleotides) under Marmota monax (woodchuck). Lineage: Eukaryota; Metazoa; Chordata; Mammalia; Rodentia; Sciuridae. The record is from RNAcentral.